CUCCUACCUCAGCCUCCUGAGUAGCUGGUAUUACAGGCGUGCACCAUCACGCCCGGCUAAUUUUUGUGUUUUCAGUAGAGAUGGGGUUUCACCAUGUUGGUCAGGCUGGUCUCGAACUCCUGACCUUGUGAUCUGCCUGCCUUGGCCUCCCAAAGUGUUGGGAUUACAGGUGUAAGCCACUGAGCCUGGCCAUUAAGUCCCCAUUUCUUUGGGGUCAACUAUUAGAGCUUUAUUUUGUUGCUUUAAAGGUGUCAUAUUUCCUUGAUUCUUUGUAUAUAUAUAUUUUUGAAGACUUGCGCUGCUAUCUUCACAUUUGAAGAAGCGGUCACCUCCUUUAGUCUUACUUGUUUCUUAUUAAAAUUUUUUUAAUGUUUUUUUUUAAGAGAUGGGAUCUCACUAUGUUGCCCAGGGUGGUCUCAAACUCCUGGCCUCAAGUGAUCCUCCCACCUCAGCCUCCCAAAGUGCUGAGAUUACAGGUGUAAGCUACCAUGCCUGGCUGUCCCCCAGUCUUUGUUGACUGGCUUUGGGAGAGAAAGACCUUCAUCAGUCAUCCUAGCUAAGGAUUUGAGGGAUCGCUCAGAUCUUUUCUGUAGAUACACCCACUCUACUCCUGUUGCUCCCUCUUAGGGAGAGAAGUCUUAGGUUGUAAGCUCCUCUCAAUCCUCCAAAGCUGGGUCUACACUGAGCACCUCCCAUUUUCCCUAAUGCAGUGCUCUGAAGCAUUCAAGGUUGGGCACCUUCUCCCAGUCCAGCAGAGUCAAGCCGGCUGCUCAGAUUUGCAUCUGCCGUUGAGAUCUGUGUACUGUUUGGGAGGAGGGUGCAUGAGACACCAUAUGCUCAGGGGUACGUGGAGUGCUGGGGGCAUGGAUCAGUUGGUUGGGGGGCCCACAGGCAAGUUGUUCUGUGGGUUCAUGGGCGGGCCUCCUGGUGGAGUGUUAGCUGGUUAGUGGGAUCCAUGGCUGGCUGUUGGUUGCUAGGCAUGUCCUUCCCUUCUCCUAGCAGUCCCCAGGUGACUCAGCCAUGCUGAUUCCUCAGUGUUCUGGGGAGAGACACAGGUGGGCUAUUGGGCAGCAUCCUAUAAGGUUGGGGAAGCUGGUGCUCACUCAGCACUCAGUUUCCCCUGUGGGAGAAACCACAGGCCCAGGGGGGCCUCAUUGGAGGAGCACUAGCACAGGUAAACUGAACCUUCUUAGCCUCUUCGGUGUGCUCUCUUUGCCCUGUGGGGUGCUAGAACCUCUCAGUGUUUCUGUGGGGGCAUGAGGGCUGGAACCUCCUAUUCUGUCACCUUCCUGGCCUCUUCCUACAAUUAUUUUUAUGCUCAAAUUGCCCCCGAUUUGGACAGGGGGAGAGCCUUCAGGCUGCUCCUCCAGCCCUCUCACAUGUCCCCAACGUUGUUCAGCAUUUCCUUAUUUUCCAGCACUAGACAUUCUAAGGCUCACCCUGUACUCUCUCUGCUCUUCCCUGGAAAUAGUCAUUUCUCCAAAGAGUUCUGUUCCCUUGGAAUAGAGAAUGGUAUUUACAAACCAAGAAAUGGAUUUCAGGUGUGCCAGUUGUUUCUGGGGUGGCAUUGCUUCUAGGCCCCUUCGGUGGACAGAGCUGGGAAAGAAACUGUGUGUAUCAUAUAUAUCUGCACACGUAAGCUGUGUGUGUAUCAUAUAUAAUACAUCUGCACAUAUAAACUGUGUAUGUAUCAUAUAUAAUACAUCUGCACUUAUAAACUGUGUAUGUAUCAUAUAUUAAUACAUCUGCACAUAUAAACUAUCAUAUCUGUACAUAUAAACUGUGUAUAUCAUAUAUAUGCACAUAUAAACUAUCAUAUAUAAUACAUCUGCACAUACAAACUGUAUGUAUCAUAUAUAAUACAUCUGCACUUAUAAACUGUAUCAUACAUAAUACAUCUGCACAUAUAAACUGUAUCAUAUCUACACAUAAACUGUAUAUAUCAUAUAAUAUAUGCGCAUAUAAACUAUCAUAUAUCUGCACAUAUAAACUAUGUAUCAUAUAUAUCUGCACAUAUAAACUGUGUGUAUCAUAUAUAGUACAUCUGUACAUAUAAACUGUAUCAUAUACAUCUGCACAUAUAAACUAUCAUAUAUAAUACAUCUGCACUUAUAAACUGUGUACCAUAUAUAUCUGCACAUAUAAACUGUAUCAUAUAUAUCUGCACAUAUAAACUAUCAUAUAUAAUACAUCUGCACAUAUAAACUGUAUCAUAUAUAAUCUGCACUUAUAAACUGUAUCAUAUAUAUCUGCACAUAUAAACUGUAUCAUAUAUAUCUGCACAUAUAAACUGUCAUAUAUAAUACAUCUGCACAUAUAAACUGUGUGUAUCAUAUAUACAUCUGCACAUAUAAACUGUGUGUAUCAUAUAUAAUACAUCUGCACUUAUAAACUGUAUCAUAUAUAUCUGCACAUAUAAACUGUAUCAUAUAUAAUAUAUCUGCACAUAUAAACUAUCAUAUAUAAUACAUCUGCACAUAUAAACUGUAUCAUAUAUAACUGCACAUAUAAACUGUCAUAUAUAUCUGCACAUAUAAACUGUCAUAUAUAUGCACAUAUAAACUAUCAUAUAUAAUACAUCUGCACAUAUAAACUGUGUAUCAUAUAUAAUACAUCUGCACAUAUAAACUAUCAUAUAUAAUACAUCUGCACAUAUAAACUGUAUCAUAUAUAAUACAUCUGCACAUAUAAACUGUGUAUCAUAUAUAAUACAUCUGCACUUAUAAACUGUGUCAUAUAUCUGCACAUAUAAACUAUCAUAUAAUACAUCUGCAUAUAUAAACUAUCAUAUAUACAUCUGCACAUAUAAACUAUAUCAUAUAUCUGCACAUAUAAACUGUGUGUAUCAUAUAUAAUACAUCUGCACAUAUAAACUGUGUGUAUCAUAUAUAUCCGCACAUAUAAACUGUGUGUGUAUCAUAUAUAUCUGCACAUAUAAACUGUGUGUGUAUCAUAUAUAAUACAUCUGCACACAUGCUUCUCUGUAUUGAAAACCAAAUUGUCACGGACCACUCCCAUUCUCACGCAGCAUUUAGGGCUGUGGCUAGCCUUUCCCAGCUGUAAGAAACCUGUCUUUCAGCAUGAUAAACACAUUUACUUAUUUGCUCAGUCCUCUAAUAUGCAGAAAGUAGUUUUAGAAUUGCCAAAACCAUACAACUUGGAAAAACAAGCAUGAUUACUUCAAGAUGUGUUUGUAGCUCCUUCUGUCCUGGCAUUGGACGUGGAGAGAAAGCACAGACUGUUCCAAGUUUCAUUUUUCCCCUUCUCUGAAACGCAGAGAGCGUUGUUUGUUUCUGUUUGUAUUUCAUUUGGGUCCUCCCUCUAGCCUUAUUCAUAAAUUUGUAAAUGAUCUUUAACAAUCUGUUAUAUUUAUGAUGUUUUACUGCGUGCUGCCUGUGAAAAUGUUUCCUUCUUCUGACACGUUCCAGAACAACUAGGCUUUUAAAUUCCAAAUAUUCCUGUUUCACAAUAAACCAGAUGAGGGCCUCUGUUGUGCCACAGCUUUUGGAAUGUGGUUUAUUACCAAUAGAAGUGGCUGCGUGGCUUGUUAUGGUUUCAAUUACACGUGAGUAACAACCGGGGCCCUUCUGUGUCAGGUGCUGCUGAUCAAGGCUGGCUAAUGGGGACCUCGCUGUCCAGAACGGGCGUUUCCCAUGGCCCGGCCCAGCUGUUUACCACUUCUGUCUACCAUUUCAGAGGGGCUUUGCGGAGAUUAAAUGAGGUGAAGCGCUCUGAGAACCUCAGUCCUAAAGAAUAGCAGUUAUACUGGUUUUUGUAUUAUAUUUAUAUAUUCUUCUUGUUAAUAUACUGGUUUUAAUGUUCAUCGUUCUCUUGGGAUCCCAUGACAGUGAGCCUGGUGUACCUGAGGUCUGGGAUACUCACACCUCUCCCCAGUCCCAUGCUCCCCACUGUGGCAGUGCCUGUCAGGGACCCUGCUGACCCCAGGAAGCCUCGGUGUCCCCAGCGCUGGCUCUGCUCACACAGGCAGCAGGCUUAGUGUUCUCUGGCCUGGCUGCACUGACUGGACCAGGGACAGGGGAAGGGCCCCAAAGCACCCUGUUCCAGGCAGCCGGCCAGUCGUGGCCGAGGAGCUCCAUUCAACAGUGGCACCCAGAGGGGCCAGGGUCUCAUAAAGCUGGUCAGACGCCCCCUCUGGGUAGGGGUGUAGGAAGCGGCUGUGCAGCCGGGUCCCAGGUAGGGAGGCAUAGAGUGAAGGCUGUGAGCAGGAGCCCUGGGGCGGAGGGCCAGGAGAAGGCUGGGCACAGGUCCAUCGGUGGCAGCUGGGUGGGCAGAGCAGAGAGGCUGCAUCUGCACGACGGCAGGGCCCUGGUGUGGGAACAGCAGACGGGGCCCCUGGGUGCGGCGCCUCCUUCCCACAUCCCUGCUGCUCCUGCAUCUGCUGCUGGAGAAGACCACGACGUGCUCAGACCCCGGCACUGGAGAACUCCAGAUGUGGUGAGGGCUGCACGUUAGCUGCAUACGCACAUCUGGAAGGUGAGGCAGACGUGCCCACCGCCUCCAUGCCUGGCCCACAGUUGUGGGCAUGCAGAGCUCCUCUGUGGCAGGCCCAGGCUGCACCAGCUGCCUGGAGAGGCACUGGGGGCGGGGCCUCACUUGAGGGGCAGAUUCUCCCACCCAGCCAGUCCAGGCCCAGCGGCUGGAGCAUCCCGUCCAGCAAAUUGUCCUGCAAGUUGCCCUGGAGACCCAGCGUCUCUCAUCACGUCUCACUCCCCUGCCAGAUGCCUCUGCGGCAAUAACGAGAGUGGCUCUGCCUUCUGCACUGAAUGCCGACAGGUGACCAGAACAUGACACUGGGGUUAUGCAGUGCCCUGGUUGAUAUUCUAGUUCAUCAGGGAGCUUCUGGAAUGAUUUUUUUUUUCUUUUUUUUUUUUUUUUGAGACAGAGUCUCUCUCUGUCGCCCAGGCUGGAGUGCAAUGGAGCAAUCUUGGCUCACCACAACCUCUGCCUCCGGGGUUCAAGUGAUUCUCCUGUCUGAGCCUCCUGAGUAGCUGGGAUUACAGGUGUCCACCACUAUCACUCAGUUAAUUUUUAUAUUUUUAGUAGAGAUGGGGUUUCACCAUGUUGCCUGGGCUGGUCUCAAACUCCUGACCUCAGGUGAUCUGCCUCCUCAGCCUCCCAAAGUGCUGGGAUUACAGGCAUGAGCCACCUCACCCAGCCAACUUUCUUUUGCUUCACUUUUCCUCUGGUUGCCCCAUCUUUAUUGUCAAGUCCUGUUAAGAGGAACAACAUUAAAAUGAGAGCUUUCAUGGCAAAAAGGUUGCUGUGGGUUGAGCUUGCAAUGUUAGCUGCGUGUUAGGAUUCAGCUGACAUCUGUCUCUGGAGUCUCGCCCUUUCUGUAAUUCGCUUUUGACUGUAAUAAAUGUUGUACAGGCCAGGUGCAGUGACUCACACCUGUAAUCCCAGCACUUUGCAAGGCCAAGGCAGGUGGACCACGAGGUCAGGAGAUCGAGAUCAUCCUGGCUAACACGGUGAAACCCCGUCUCCACUGAAAAUACAGAAAAUUAGCUGGGUGUGGUGGCACCUGCCUGUGGUCCCAGCUAUU
RNAcentral lists this long non-coding RNA (5563 nucleotides) under Homo sapiens (human). RNAcentral's name for it is "HSALNT0131513". The record is from RNAcentral. Lineage: Eukaryota; Metazoa; Chordata; Mammalia; Primates; Hominidae.